AAUUAUUAGAAAAAUAAUGCACAUCCGAGGUGUAACGCAUCACAACCUCGGGUGUGCAUUAUUUUUCUAAUAAUUCAACUGCCUGUCGUCAAUUAUUCCUUAAUGCACAGGUAGUUCCAAGUCAGUUUAUAUCACCUUUCUGUAUUAAUGUGCUGAUUUCAUUGACUUUCAGGAGCAUAGAAACUUGUUUUUAAUGCUGUCCUGUGAUUUUUAUUAAUAAAAUAGCUUAGAUACUGGAUUAGGGUAAGGGAUAAGCUAGCUGUGCAUUAAACGAUUCUAAUGCACAACGUGGAGGCAAAAAAACACUCGAUGUUAAGUGCAUUAAAAUCGUUUAAUGCACAGCUAGCCGUGCAUUAUCCCUUACUUAAAUUUUAAAGAUAGAUGACAUAUGAAGGCAAAUGAUGCUAUUUUCAUUCGACAAACCAUUUCUUUUGUCUUUUUGUGAGGACUUACUUGGGAAUCCGUUUUCCUGCAAUUUCAGGUUCUGAGUUUAUGUCAGAAGUGUAGCUGGCCUUCUUCCAGUUGUUGGCUACAUUCUGAAAAGAUGCUGGAAAAAGAAAUGCAGGAUUCUUGCUCUAUGUCGGGUCCACCCUUUCUCUGGCUGUGGUGCCUCCAUUGUCCUAACACUCUUCAGCAACCUGUCAAGGUCUUUAUAUGGUGGCCACCAGGAGUAGCCAUCUGCAUACCAGGACUUGGCGGCUGGUCCAGUCGUCCCUUCUCCCUCAAACUCCACGAUUAGAAAUCAACUGUUGUUGAGAGGUCAUCCACUAAAUGAAUGCCAAGUGUAGAGGAUGGCAGUGGAUAGUCAAAAAAGGAUUCCUGGUGUUUGAAGGUACUGUAAGCUACAUAAAUUUCAUCCCUGAAUGAAAUUAUGUUUUGCAGCUUAGCAACUUUGCCGCCAAUGCAAACCUGACUGUUUGCCUGAUCCAGUUUCAGAGUGUGAAGGCUUGUUCUUAACUCUUUAUAUUGUGUCGCCUCAUGAAAGGAUGCUGGUAGAGGACCAGUCGCAUGUGGUUUUUUGAGCAGAUGUGGCCUGGUUUUGUGAGUUUUUUUGCAGCAUCUUUGCAUUUCUGAGAAUCCUUUUAUUAUUUGACUCAGAGGGCAUGUUGGUUUCCUCAGAAGUCUUUUGAGUUUGUUUAAGUGAUUCUCGUACUUGAAAGCACUGAAGUUGUCAAGGACACCAUGCUUUUUCGCAUCUUCUGCAAGAUGUACAAGGCAGUGUGCAUUGUAGGACAAGAAUUGUGGACCAUACAGUUGACCAAAGUGAGUGACAAAGAGCACCAGUAUGUCAUUGGCAUAAUCACAGUAUUCUUCAAUCAAACUGUUGUUGCACAGGAUGAAGAUUCCCACAAAAAGUAGCAAGAAAUUUUUGUACACCUCUGUGUUAAGAAGAUCUUUCAUCAUGACAGGUCCGGUAUACAGUAAAAACUGCCUGAACUCUGUUGCCUUCCACCUAUCAAUUUCUCUCAGUGCCCUUGGUUUCCGUGCAAACUCCAUGGGCACAUUUCUCCGAGCAUUUAACAGUCUUUCUGACAAUGUGUUUAUUUGAAAUCCUGACAGCCUACAAGUCAGAGGACCCAUCUUCAGCCACAGGAGAAGAAGCCGUCUCAUGAUUCCGAGGCACACAAGGUGCAUGUAGUCGAGGGGGAAACCAGAGACCAUGUUUAGGGAUGUUUCUUCAAGAGGUACAAACCAUCCUGUGUGCAUUUUUCACAUCCGUGAUAGCCUGUGUGACCUUUAACAUUUUUCAGGAAUGCACGGGCAGGUGCAUCGCAGACCAUCGAAGAGAUGUCCCUAGGAUGGGCCAGAACUGUGUUGCGGAGCUCUUAUAGAGGGCCAACCAUCAAUGCUGACCUGAAGCUCCAACGUGUGAAUGUUGCGCAGAAUGUCAACAUUCUGAUGUAGCACCUCUGCAAUUGAAUUCAGCACUCCAAAAUGUUUCCUUAAUUCUGCUGCACCAGCUGUGGAAACCUGACCUGGUGAGGACCCUCUCCUCCAUCCUCAACCAUUGAACCUCUUAUCACACUCGGACGAGGACAAACCAGCCUGUGAUCUAGACUCCUAGAUCCAACCCUGGUCCACGAUCAUUCCCACACCUGUGUCUCAUCACAGUCCAUCACCUGUGUCUGCACCCUGCCUACUGCUAAUAUUAUGGAUUUCUGUUCUGGAGAGAUAUGCCAUUCACAACAAUCUCUACACAAUAUCAAACUCAAAUAAUUUAGUCCUGCCUAACAGUUUUCCUGAUUUGUUACUGUUCACAAUGUAGCACAGUCUCGUCUUUGUGCAUUCAGUUGUUAAAAUAUGUCCUUAUUAUUUGAUUGUAUCUCAAGUUUAUUAUUUAAAAGCAAAUUCACAAUCUUUCACGAGAAGAGAUAAUAGGUGUGUCUGACUUGAAGCAGUGCUGUGCAGACCGAUCGAAGUAUGACAUCACAGUACCACGAGAGCAAUAAGACUGUAAGACAGCUUCUUAUGCUUUUGAAUCACUCUCAUGAUACUUUGUCAUACUUUAAGCAGUGCUGCGCAGACCAAUUGAAGUUGAACACGUCUAAAGUGUAAACUCUCACUGUCAGCUAUGGGACUUCUGCAGUAAUAUGACGAGCAGGUGUUCAGUGUCAUCAUCUUACUUUAUUGAAAUGCUAUAUUGACCUGGAUUCAGGUUUAAAACUGUUUAACUGGGAAAGAACAAAUUAAGUGUCAUUAAUGUUGUGAGGCUGCAUAACAUCUGGUCAGAAGAAUGUUUGUGUAGUCUGUUUCCUCCUGAGGUUUCUAUCUUGUAUAGAUAAAUAUCUAAAAAUGAGUGUCUUUGUAACCAUUCUCAAUAGAUACUGAAAGCUUU
Cyprinus carpio carpio is the source of this 2836-nucleotide long non-coding RNA. NCBI's taxonomy places the organism in Eukaryota, Metazoa, Chordata, Actinopteri, Cypriniformes, Cyprinidae. The record is from Ensembl.